GUCUAUGGCUAUAUUACCCUAAACGUGCCCAAUCUCCUCUGAUCUCAGAAGCUAAGCAGGGUCGGGUCUGGUUAGUACUUAGAUGGGAGAGAAUAAUUUUUUUAAGCCAUUGGGU
Fukomys damarensis (Damara mole-rat) is the source of this 115-nucleotide ribosomal RNA. Lineage: Eukaryota; Metazoa; Chordata; Mammalia; Rodentia; Bathyergidae. The record is from Ensembl.